CAAAUUAACCAUAAUAUUCUGAGU
This 24-nucleotide non-coding RNA is filed under the name Arabidopsis thaliana (thale cress). The record is from RNAcentral. Lineage: Eukaryota; Viridiplantae; Streptophyta; Magnoliopsida; Brassicales; Brassicaceae.